This 301-nucleotide ribosomal RNA is filed under the name uncultured bacterium. Its description in RNAcentral is "partial 16S ribosomal RNA". It matches the Rfam family "Bacterial small subunit ribosomal RNA", at positions 509 to 809 of the family's 1533-position model. The record is from RNAcentral.
CAGUAGCCGCGGUAAUACGGAGGGAGCUAGCGUUGUUCGGAAUUACUGGGCGUAAAGCGCACGUAGGCGGCUCUGUAAGUCAGAGGUGAAAGCCUGGAGCUCAACUCCAGAACUGCCUUUGAGACUGCAUCGCUUGAAUCCAGGAGAGGUGAGUGGAAUUCCGAGUGUAGAGGUGAAAUUCGUAGAUAUUCGGAAGAACACCAGUGGCGAAGGCGGCUCACUGGACUGGUAUUGACGCUGAGGUGCGAAAGCGUGGGGAGCAAACAGGAUUAGAGACCCGCGUAGUCCCUGUCUCUUAUAA